GUCCGGCUGGUCUUUCACAUGUCUAUUAGAACAAAGAUUGCAGGCCAGUCAGCCUGACAAUCGUGCCUACAAUGCGCGGACUGCCGCCUACGUUUCUCUUUCUUUGUAAAUGAUCGCUCACGCAUGAGCGCCCCUUUGGGGCUGUGCUCCGCGGGGGCGCGGCACGAGCCGCGACGACCGGUCGGUCUUGCGGGCUUCGCCCGGCAGGAUGCCAGGAUCGGAUGUGUUAGCGAGAUCAAGCCGGGCUUGUAGCUCAGUUGGUUAGAGCGCGCGCUUGAUAAGCGUGAGGUCGGAGGUUCAAGUCCUCCCAGGCCCACCAUUCCUAUACCUACGGGGGCGUAGCUCAGCUGGGAGAGCACCUGCUUUGCAAGCAGGGGGUCGUCGGUUCGAUCCCGUCCGCCUCCACCAAGGUUUGUCUGGUCAUUUACAGGAAGAAUCAAGUUUGCGGCUUGCCGGAUUGAGGUCCGGCGGUUGCGUGUUCUGUAUGAAAUCGUGAAGAGAAGAUAGAUUCGGAUUGUUCCGGAUGUUCAAGGGUUUGCACCGUCGGUGCGGGUCCGCCGGCCUUUGGCCAUGAACGCCGGACAAUGUCGCAGGGGUGCUCAUCAAAAGCCCUUGCAGAUGAUUGGCCGCUUAACCGCAGAGCCAUCGGAUUUAUCUCGAGAAGCUGGUCUUUUUUGUCAAAUCGAUUUUUUGCUGAGUGUUUGGUUGUCCAUUGGUAUCCCCCAUGGCGGCGCAAUGCUCGUGAAGGCAAGGAUGGAUAUUGGCAAUGAGAAUGAUCAAGUGUCUUAAGGGCAUUUGGUGGAUGCCUUGGCAUGCACAGGCGAUGAAGGACGUGAUACGCUGCGAUAAGCGUCGGGAGUGCG
RNAcentral lists this unclassified non-coding RNA (863 nucleotides) under Phyllobacterium sp. RNAcentral describes it as "partial 16S-23S ribosomal RNA intergenic spacer". The stretch from base 243 to 316 matches the Rfam family "tRNA". Lineage: Bacteria; Pseudomonadati; Pseudomonadota; Alphaproteobacteria; Hyphomicrobiales; Phyllobacteriaceae. The record is from RNAcentral.